GAUGAACGCUGGCGGCGUGCCUAAUACAUGCAAGUCGAGCGGACGGACGCGACGCUUGCUUCUCUGAUGUUAGGGGCGGACGGGAGAGUAACACGUGGAUCACCUACCUAUAAGACUGGGAUAACUUGGGGAAACCGGCGCUAAUACCGUAGGAUAUUUUGAACCGCAUGGGUCAAAAGUGAGAGUCGGUCUUGCGGUCACUUAUAGAUGGAUCCGCGCUGCAUUAGCUAGUUGUUAAGGUAACGGCCUACCAAGGCAACGAUGCGUAGCCGAACUGAGUGGCGGAUCGGCCACACUGGAACUGGGACACGGUCCAGACUACUACGGGAGGCAGCAGUAGGGAAUCUUCGGCAAUGGGCGAAAGCCUGACGGAGCAACGCCGCGUGAGUGAUGAAGGUCUUCGGAUCGUAAAACUCUGUUAUUAGGGAAGAACAGAUGUCUACGUAGCUGUGCACAUCGUGACGGUAACUAAUCAGAAAGCCACGGCUAACUACGUG
Molecule: ribosomal RNA, 497 nt
Filed under: uncultured bacterium
Lineage: Bacteria
Description: partial 16S ribosomal RNA
Rfam family: Bacterial small subunit ribosomal RNA
Source: RNAcentral